Long non-coding RNA from Magnolia sinica, 1130 nucleotides. RefSeq lists it as uncharacterized. The record is from RefSeq and is a predicted model, not a curated record. The transcript is spliced from 4 exons. Lineage: Eukaryota; Viridiplantae; Streptophyta; Magnoliopsida; Magnoliales; Magnoliaceae.
UGGUGUUGUUCACCCAAGAUUUAUUUCAAUCUGGUUUUUUGUAUCAACCUUAAAAUAUUGUUUACAAAUGCAUGUACGGUGUGGAUUCAUCACAAACAUCAUGGUGGGGCCCAUAGAGCCCUACCAGAUCCAAUGAUCAAGUAGCGUUUUUUAUUUCACGGUAAAUGUGUGUGAGUUUUGCAUUUGCUUUAAAUUUGUGGUGACUCGUUUAUAGAAAUAAUGGUAAUGAUAUAGGGUUAUCCAAACCAACUAAAUAAUGGUUCUAGCUGUAGAUGGAUAAUAUGUAUAUAUUUUCUGAUAUAAAACUAUCUUAACCAUCUAGUAAAUGGUCCCUUACAUGUACGACUGUUAAUAUGGUGUAUGUUAUAAAUGAUAGUAAACGCACAAUAUUCGGAUCUGAAAGUAUUUUCUUUCUUUGUUUUACACCAAAAACAUCCUAACCCUCAUUCUCUCUCUCUCACUCUUGCUGUUUUUGCUGCCCGACGUCUCAAUUUCCCGCAUUCACGGUGCAGACAGUCUCUCUCAAUCUCUCUCAUUUAGACAUUUCUCCCCCUCCAAAAACCCUAAAACUAUAAGAUUCAGCAGCAACAAAGGAAGGAUGCCUCUGAAGUUCGACCCAUCUCAAGUGGUGGACAUGUAUGUCUGUACCACAGGAGGAGAAGUAGGCGCGGUGAGCUCACUUACCCUGAAGAUCGGGCCGUUGGGGCUGUCCCCUAAAACGAUCUACAGCAGGAGAUCGCUGAUGGGGAUGUUGAGGUCCCGACAGAGUGAGCCAUCUAUGGAGAAUUGGAGAUGAAGGAACUACGCAUCGAACUAAAUGAUAAAUUAUUAGAGAUGGAACGACUGCAAUCUGAGUUGAUCAGAAGAGACUUGGAAGAAGAAACAGAGGAACCUGCUAAGAGUAGUUUAAAAACUGUUAUUGCGACCUUAGAGAAAUAGAAUGUUAAUCUUAAGACAAAGAUCAUCCCAGAAUUUGUACCAUUUUUUUUUACUGUUCAGAAGAAGAGAUGGAAAGGCGCCUUUUAAAUAGGAAUCAAGUGGAAGCCUUAGCAGUUCAAUUGACUCACUAGGAAGGUGAGAUGCUUUAAGAAAAAACCGAAGUGAAAAAGAUAGCAAAUUUUCCUAAGCAG